AACGUAGGGGGCGAGCGUUGUCCGGAAUCACUGGGCGUAAAGGGUGCGUAGGCGGCUAUUUAAGUCUCGUGUGAAAGGUCCCGGCUUAACCGGGGAGUUGCACGGGAAACUGGAUGGCUUGAGUGCCGGAGAGGGUCGCGGAAUUCCAGGUGUAGCGGUGAAAUGCGUAGAUAUCUGGAAGAACACCAGUGGCGAAGGCGGCGACCUGGACGGUAACUGACGCUGAGGCACGACAGCUGGGGGAGCGAACAGG
This 253-nucleotide unclassified non-coding RNA is filed under the name uncultured Bacillota bacterium. RNAcentral's name for it is "uncultured Firmicutes bacterium contains 16S-23S intergenic spacer region". It matches the Rfam family "Bacterial small subunit ribosomal RNA", at positions 524 to 776 of the family's 1533-position model. The record is from RNAcentral. Lineage: Bacteria; Bacillati; Bacillota.